GACGGAGGAUGCAAGCGUUAUCCGGAAUGAUUGGGCGUAAAGCGUCCGCAGGUGGCAGUUCAAGUCUGCUGUCAAAGACCGGGGCUUAACUUCGGAAAGGCAGUGGAAACUGAACAGCUAGAGUAUGGUAGGGGCAGAGGGAAUUCCUGGUGUAGCGGUGAAAUGCGUAGAGAUCCGGAAGAACACCGGUGGCGAAGGCGGCCUGCUGGGCUAUGGCUGACACUGAGGCGCGAAAGCGUGGGGAGCAAACAGG
Molecule: ribosomal RNA, 253 nt
Filed under: uncultured bacterium
Lineage: Bacteria
Description: partial 16S ribosomal RNA
Rfam family: Bacterial small subunit ribosomal RNA
Source: RNAcentral